UCCUGGACUCAAGUGAUCAGCCUACCUUGACCUCCCAAAGCUCCAGGAUUACAGAUGUGAGUCACCAUGCCUGGAGCCAAGACAACAAAUAUUCUUCAGUGCCAUCUCUGAGCCAGGCAUUGCUCAAAGUGAACAAGAUAAAGUCCCUGAGCUCUUGAAGCUAACAUUCUAGUUGGAAAGCCAGUGAACUCUAACAGAUGUGAAACUAGAAUAUGCAAUAUGACACAAUCUCAGCAACCAAACAGAUGAGGGAAGUUUGUUGGAAAACAAGGCUCAUCGCGCAAAACUGACAAGCACCACCACAGCAGAACACAGCAAGAUCCCCACUAGAGGCCAGCUCACUUGAGCUCACACCAACUGUCCCUUUCAGGCUCAGCCCAACUUUUCAUUUUCAAGAAGAAAUAAACAUUCAACCUCCUUA
Macaca mulatta (Rhesus monkey) is the source of this 421-nucleotide non-coding RNA. The record is from RefSeq and is a predicted model, not a curated record. NCBI's taxonomy places the organism in Eukaryota, Metazoa, Chordata, Mammalia, Primates, Cercopithecidae.